Molecule: small nuclear RNA, 107 nt
Organism: Oryctolagus cuniculus (rabbit)
Lineage: Eukaryota; Metazoa; Chordata; Mammalia; Lagomorpha; Leporidae
Source: Ensembl
GUGCUCGCUUUGGCAGCAUGUAUUAAAAAAUUAGAAUGAUACAGAGAAGAUUAGCAUGGCCCCUGUGCAAGGAUGACACCCAAAUUCAUGAAGCAUUCCAUAUUUAA